RNAcentral lists this transfer RNA (77 nucleotides) under Mercenaria mercenaria. Its description in RNAcentral is "transfer RNA isoleucine (anticodon UAU)". The stretch from base 3 to 71 matches the Rfam family "tRNA". Rfam says of the family: Transfer RNA (tRNA) molecules are approximately 80 nucleotides in length. Lineage: Eukaryota; Metazoa; Mollusca; Bivalvia; Venerida; Veneridae. The record is from RNAcentral.
GCAGUCAGCUAGCUCAGUCGGUAGAGCACUCGCCCUAUAAGCGAGGGGUCCUGGGUUCGAGCCCCGGACUGUAUGCA